Molecule: transfer RNA, 76 nt
Filed under: Halobacteriovoraceae bacterium
Lineage: Bacteria; Pseudomonadati; Bdellovibrionota; Bacteriovoracia; Bacteriovoracales; Halobacteriovoraceae
Description: tRNA-Ala
Rfam family: tRNA
About the family: Transfer RNA (tRNA) molecules are approximately 80 nucleotides in length. Their secondary structure includes four short double-helical elements and three loops (D, anti-codon, and T loops). Further hydrogen bonds mediate the characteristic L-shaped molecular structure. tRNAs have two regions of fundamental functional importance: the anti-codon, which is responsible for specific mRNA codon recognition, and the 3' end, to which the tRNAs corresponding amino acid is attached (by aminoacyl-tRNA synthetases). tRNAs cope with the degeneracy of the genetic code in two manners: having more than one tRNA (with a specific anti-codon) for a particular amino acid; and 'wobble' base-pairing, i.e. permitting non-standard base-pairing at the 3rd anti-codon position.
Source: RNAcentral
GGGGGUGUAGCUCAAUUGGUAGAGCGCUUGCUUUGCACGCAAGAGGUCGCUGGUUCGAUUCCAGUCAUCUCCACCA